AUCUGUUCUUAUCAGUUUAAUAUCUGAUACGUCUGUCCACUCCACACAUCGGCCUGGUAUUGCAGUGUCUCCAGAAACGGUGU
This 83-nucleotide small nuclear RNA is filed under the name Sinocyclocheilus anshuiensis. RNAcentral's name for it is "U2 spliceosomal RNA (ENSSANG00000038722.1)". The record is from RNAcentral. Lineage: Eukaryota; Metazoa; Chordata; Actinopteri; Cypriniformes; Cyprinidae.